RNAcentral lists this long non-coding RNA (367 nucleotides) under Homo sapiens (human). Its description in RNAcentral is "HSALNT0366397". The record is from RNAcentral. Lineage: Eukaryota; Metazoa; Chordata; Mammalia; Primates; Hominidae.
CCACCACAGACAACACCGAGGAGCCGAACCACAGGCUCCACUGGCUGCCCAGGUUGGACAGGAGGGUGACCAUCUGUGAGAGGAGAGGUCAGAGAGACAGGAACCAGGAGGCCACGACUGGAAAGUCCAGGCAGAAGAGAACUGCGGAGCCAGCCCAGGGAAGGACAGAAGUGGAAAAGUCACCACAGACAGGAACAAGCUUCCUGGCACACGACUUCCCUGCCAAACAACUCAACUGUAGUCAAAAGGAAAGAGAUUUGUCUAGUCCUAUACCAGGAUAAGGAGGAGAUUCCAAGGUGCUCCAAACUUUACUGAUUGUGCCCUUGUUCAGUUAAAAAAAAAAUCUUAAACAGGUCCAAUACAUGUA